Molecule: non-coding RNA, 1832 nt
Organism: Pelobates cultripes (western spadefoot toad)
Lineage: Eukaryota; Metazoa; Chordata; Amphibia; Anura; Pelobatidae
Source: the annotation of a GenBank genome assembly
CGCUGCUGGGUUGGGGUCUCGCCGUCUCCUACCCACCCUGGACCAAGACAAGGCCCCAGGUUCCAGUGGGUGAACCUCUCUUCCUUCCAGAGAGCAAAGCAGGAACAGGAACAAGCUCUUAUAAAAACUCAGUGAAGCUAAGGGAGUAUAAAGAGUAUAGCAAUCCCUGUAGUGAUUAUAGCUGUCCCCUCCAAACACGAGUCAAGGCUGUGAGUUGAUGGUGAAGUAGGACUGGUUUAAUGAGCCACAAAGGCAUUUCUUAUAUACAGUUUUCCCCACAAGGUUACCACCCACGUGGACCUUGUGGAGCACAGGACACAAAGUCACAACAGCCAAUCAACACAGUAUUGUACAGUUAGACACUCCCAGCUAAUGUACACAAACCCUCCCCUCUGCCUGUGAUAUAAUUACCAGACACAAUGGACUAACUUGAAUACCACAGGUAAAAAAUAUCCAGUUUUACCCAAAGUCCAGAAACACCCCAAACAACAACAUAUCAACAACAGAGUUAGGCUGUGCGGCCGAUCUAUCUUCUCCUUCCCAAAAUGUAUAAAUUGCACGAAUGGAUCAGUUCGUGCAGUACUUCAUUGGAAGCAUCUCCCAGCUGCCUCCUCUCCCUGCAAGGGCAGUUCAUCACAGAGGGCAACGCUAGCAUUCGUGCAGCGCCCCUGGAAGCAGAGGUGUCCAUUGACUUGGAGCAGGCAAGUAUGGCAUACUCUGACUCUUGCAAAGAUUUUCUGGCCGAGGUGAAGCAGCAAGUGGCUUGGAAUGGCCCUGAUGUGUCCGUAGAUACCUUCCAGGCGAUCUGGAACCAGGUAACCGUCGAAAGACAAGCGAAGAGGGACCAAGAGUUCCUGCUGGCUAAAGUGAGGAAAAGAAGCCUCCAAUGAAAGGAGGUUAGCCGCUCUCCCCAGAGGCAGCCGGAGGUACCCGAAGUAGGGAGGGGAGGAACCCCAACAGGCAAGUGGAGAUGGGACCGAAGUCUCUCCACUGGCCCCACAGGGAUGCUGUGCAGCUGGAAGUCGGAGCUACUGGGAGAGGCAGCCAAAGCUACUGGGAGAGGAGGCAAGUGGUCCUUAUUCCCAAGUCCUGGGGGAGCUCAUAGACUGGCACUGGGAGGAACCUGAAAUGGCAGGUGGAGAUGGGACUAGGUCUCUCUACUGGCCCUACAGGGAUGCUGGGCAGCCGGCCCAGAUCCCCUGUGGCACCUGGCCUCUCUCCGCAGUGGCAGUGUAAACUGCAGGGAGAGGAAGUAGCCGGCCUCUCUCCCAAGCAGCAGUGUAAACUGCAGGGAGAGGAGGCAACCGGCCUCUCUCCCCAGCGGCAGCGUAUCCUACAGGGAAUGGAGACAAGCGGUCUCUCUCCCCAGCGGCAGUGUAAAUUGCAGGGAGAGGAGGCAGCCGGCCUCUCUCCCCAAUGGUAGUGUGAGUUUCACGGGGAGGAGGCGAUCAGCCUCUCUCCCCAGUAGCAGUGUGAGUUUCAGGGAGAGGAGACAACCGUUCUCUAUCCCCAGCUGACCCCAACAGUGCAGAUGGGACCACAGUCUCUGUACUGGAUCUACAGGGAUGCUGGAUGGCCUGUCCAGAUCCCCAACUAACCUCGCAGGGAUACCAGGAGGAGGUAAGCGAUGUUUCCCUUGCACAGCUAAUUUCCAGCCGGGCUCUGGGGUUAGUGGAUGGAACUACCAUAUCCACUGACUCCCUUAAAGCAGAAGAGCUGGCAUCAGGGCAGAGCGCUGCUGGCCUCUGCCCUCUCCUUUGUCUUUGCACAGGGCCUGACUACCUGCAGGAGUCACCAGGUCCAGUCAUUGCUUUUUGUGGGUGGGCUACUCG